AUCGUAGAUGGAAAAAGGAAGAAGCAAUCAUAUGGUUUUCUUUCUUUGCUGGCUCAUUUUGAUGGGUGCUCGUGGAAACAACAGAACAGAAGAAUCACUGGCUUAUCUGUAUUCCACACAGUAAGCCAAUGGCAAGGUCUGCAGACACAGGCAUUCCUGUGUUCAGGAAUUUUCACACUAAGAGCAUCACUUCUGAAGUGCAACACUACAGCUUACAAUAACCUACCACAGAUCAAACUGUGCAAUUCGAGUGCAACUGGUAGAGUAUCAUGCUUCGUAUUUUUUUCAUAAUUAGUU
Molecule: long non-coding RNA, 297 nt
Filed under: Dromaius novaehollandiae (emu)
Lineage: Eukaryota; Metazoa; Chordata; Aves; Casuariiformes; Dromaiidae
Description: lncRNA (ENSDNVG00000011845.1)
Source: RNAcentral